Molecule: non-coding RNA, 57 nt
Filed under: Mus musculus (house mouse)
Lineage: Eukaryota; Metazoa; Chordata; Mammalia; Rodentia; Muridae
Also listed under: 1 other name
Source: miRBase by way of RNAcentral
CUUGGGGGCAGAGGUGGCACGGUGUUUGUUGUAACUCAGCCACUGUGUCCCCUCCUU